Apus apus (common swift) is the source of this 547-nucleotide long non-coding RNA. RefSeq lists it as uncharacterized. NCBI's taxonomy places the organism in Eukaryota, Metazoa, Chordata, Aves, Apodiformes, Apodidae. The record is from RefSeq and is a predicted model, not a curated record. The transcript has 5 exons.
UUAUGACUAAUUUAUUCUAAAACUGUAUUCUGCAGAAAACUACAGAACAAGAGAAACUAACAAAAAAAAUUAGCUGCAGGAAGUUUGAGAAUGAUAGCUGCUCACAUGUACCAUCUUCUGGAGCACAAGCAUUCUUUGGCAAUAACACUGAAGAACCGGACCCUACCAUUUCUUUCAAGCCUGCUGAAAGCACUGAACAAGGAAUGUGUGUGUGAUGCACUGCACAAAGAGUGAUAGGAGGAAGAGAUAAGGAAAUCAAUGCUGGGGAAAGAAAGGAGAAAGGAGAAGCUAAAAACACCAGUGACAAAGAAUACAGCACCUAUACCAGGAUAUACUUUAGAAGAAGCUACUUGAAAUUUUACCAGGAAUGGAUCUGAAGGUAUGGCUUGUAUCUGACCUUUCAAGGAACUGGAGGUAAUCCUGUCCCAAGCAGCCUGUACCAACAAGUCAACAUGGAACUGAUAUAUCCUGCAUUCAACAACAGUUGCUUCUGAGCUGUAAAAGAUAAGCUGUCACUGGAACAGAGAAUACCAAAUGCUUUCUGACA